This is a long non-coding RNA of Pantherophis guttatus, 1662 nucleotides long. RefSeq lists it as uncharacterized. The record is from RefSeq and is a predicted model, not a curated record. Lineage: Eukaryota; Metazoa; Chordata; Lepidosauria; Squamata; Colubridae.
CCGUGGACAAUGUGCUCCAUUCCUCACUCUGUAUAUUGUAUCCAAGUUUCUCCGAUGGCCACUAAAGUUACAGGAACUCCUUAAUUGCCACCUUAUCAGUCCAUCAUCCGUAUUCCAGGAUGAUUGACACAGAAAUCAGGGUGGGGGAGCCGGGAACCAAAUUUAAGAUCUGCAGCAGCAAAGGCAGCAACAGCCAAGCUGGCAGGAGAGACCAACUGAGUUUUGUCUGGCGCUGAGUUGAGUGGAUUCCAAAGAAGACAGAAAGCAGGAUUGUGGCCAGGCGCUAAGGAUCUGGAACAAAUGGGAGGAAAGUAAUUUCUCUAUAAGGAAUACUGACUCACAGCUAAGCCCUAGGAAGGAGGCAAUGGCAAACCAUUUCUGAAAACCUUGCUAAGAAAACUGCACAGACUUGUUCAGUCAGCUGCCAGGAGUAAAAAAGAAGAUUUGUAACCAUCAUGGCUCUGCCGUCCACUUUGCCUUACGACCGUGUAACGGUGAACAUGGAACGGGAAGAGGUUUCUCUGGAGCGCACCAAAUCCCAGCUGGAUCCCCGCCUCAUAAGCACUACCACCGGCAGCGUAGAAGACUCCUGCCACAGCUGCCUACUUCCUUUUGAGGUGCUGGCCAGUAUCAUUGGCCUAGUGACUACGAGUGUCGCUUGCUCAGGUAGUUUCUCUGACACCAUCCUGACUGUCAUAGGUGGAGUCCUGCUAGCUGUUGGGCUUCUUGGACUGACCGUAGGUUGCAUCUGGCAGCAGUACAGGAGGAAGAAGCGCUGUGGCAGCUGGACUGUCCUAAUGGAUGAAACAGAAGCAAAAAAACCAGUUAUCUGAAGAUCCAGAACCAAAUCCACCAGGAGACAAAAUCGCAUUUGGCCUCAUCGGGCAAAGCUCGUUUCGAACAAAUUGACUGAUUUCAGAAUUGGUCGCCCCACUUUCUCAUUUUCUUUUAGAUUAAACAAAAGCAACAAUAAAAUCAGGGGGAGAAAAGAAGAAGGAAUCAAAAGGCAUAUAAGAAAAAAAAAUGAGAGGAUAGAUAUGUUCAAAUGAAUGUAUUCAAAAUAAACAUAAAAGGAUUCUAGUAUCACGUGUCAAAGACUGAAAAGAUGAGAGGCCUUCCACUCUGGAGCCUACUUUAUAAAAACAACUUUUUAGCACAAAAUGAAAUACAGGUAAUCCUCGUUUAGUGACUGCCUCAUUUAGUGACUGCCUUGUUUAGUGACUGCAGUUAUGAUGGUGAUAAGAAAGUAAUUUUGCCAUCCUCUCAUUUACAGGCCUCUUUUGUAGGUCUAUAAAGCAAAGAAAAGUAGAUCAUAAGCAUAGUCAAAAUUUCACUUAGCAACUGCUUUGCUAAACACCCAAUUGUGCUUGCUAAAUGAGGACUAACUGUAUAAUAUGUACUCAGUUUUUCUUUUGCCAUUGUGUCAAAAAAGAAUUACAUAUUCGUGCAUAUUUUGUCAAGGUCCUUUUGGAGUAGUUUCUGUUUCAAGUCACAACAAAUAUGCGUUUAUGCAUCUUAUGCUCACAUGUGUAUGUAUACCAUUUUCAGUAACUUGUCCCUUCCUCUUUUUCCAUUGCAAUGAUGGAUAUCUCCUUUCCCAAAAAAGGGAAGAUAAUUGGAUAAACUUUUAGUCCUGAAUAAAAAAUGAAUGAUUCUUUGUGA